Molecule: ribosomal RNA, 265 nt
Filed under: uncultured bacterium
Lineage: Bacteria
Description: partial 16S ribosomal RNA
Rfam family: Bacterial small subunit ribosomal RNA
Source: RNAcentral
UUCGAGUGGCGGACGGGUGAGUAACGCGUGGGUAACCUGCCUUACACAGGGGGAUAACACCUGGAAACAGGUGCUAAUACCGCAUAAGCGCACAGGGCCGCAUGGCCCGGUGUGAAAAACUCCGGUGGUGUAAGAUGGACCCGCGUCUGAUUAGCUUGUUGGCGGGGUAGGGGCCCACCAAGGCGACGAUCAGUAGCCGGGCCUGAGAGGGUGGACGGCCACAUUGGGACUGAGACACGGCCCAAACUCCUACGGGAGGCAGCAG